CCGUAAUAUUUACGAUUUGAAAAUAAUACAUUUAGUAAGUUUUUCCCAUUUAUUAUGAAAAACUCCUGGGAAAAUCAUAAUCCGCUGAACAUUAUGCUAUGUAUUUUAAUUAUUCCAUGUAUUUUUGCAUUUAUUCUAAGUCCGAGAAACAUUUCAUGUGUAGUAUAAUCUAGAUACAUGACAUUUGUGGUACGCUAGACGAUGGAAAUGUGUUUUCUACAUUUACUAUUUAGCUGUACUGUUUUACAUUAAUUGCUCAUGUUUAUUCUUUUGUAUUUGUUUAUUUCAUAGACAUAUACAAUUAUUCUUUAUGUCUAUAAUUUAUUUAUUUUGUUCCAAUAAUAAUAC
Molecule: non-coding RNA, 348 nt
Organism: Cinara cedri
Lineage: Eukaryota; Metazoa; Arthropoda; Insecta; Hemiptera; Aphididae
Source: the annotation of a GenBank genome assembly